UACGUAGGGCGCAAGCGUUAUCCGGAAUUAUUGGGCGUAAAGAGCUCGUAGGCGGUUUGUCGCGUCUGCCGUGAAAACCCGCGGCUCAACCGCGGGCCUGCAGCCGAUACGGGCAGGCUAGAGUUCGGUAGGGGAGACUGGAAUUCCUGGUGUAGCGGUGAAAUGCGCAGAUAUCAGGAGGAACACCGGUGGCGAAGGCGGGUCUCUGGGCCGAUACUGACGCUGAGGAGCGAAAGCGUGGGGAGCGAACAGG
Molecule: ribosomal RNA, 253 nt
Filed under: uncultured bacterium
Lineage: Bacteria
Description: partial 16S ribosomal RNA
Rfam family: Bacterial small subunit ribosomal RNA
Source: RNAcentral